UGCCCGGUAGUGUAAUGGUAGCACAUCAGAAUUUGGGUCUGACUGUCAAGGUUCGAAUCCUUGCCGGGCAACCA
This 74-nucleotide transfer RNA is filed under the name bacterium. RNAcentral describes it as "tRNA-Gln". It matches the Rfam family "tRNA". Rfam says of the family: Transfer RNA (tRNA) molecules are approximately 80 nucleotides in length. RNAcentral also lists the same sequence under 1 other name. The record is from RNAcentral.